This 80-nucleotide non-coding RNA is filed under the name uncultured Clostridium sp. Lineage: Bacteria; Bacillati; Bacillota; Clostridia; Eubacteriales; Clostridiaceae. The record is from RNAcentral.
AACCGUUACCGGAAGGUAACGCUGAACGUACAGAAGUCAGCAGAGGCCAUAGUAGCUGGAAGUUUUUUUCGGUGAAGGGC